Molecule: long non-coding RNA, 243 nt
Filed under: Gossypium barbadense (sea-island cotton)
Lineage: Eukaryota; Viridiplantae; Streptophyta; Magnoliopsida; Malvales; Malvaceae
Description: long non-coding RNA (GBAR_LNC020153)
Source: RNAcentral
UUUUAGCAUAUUAUUUUCUUAUCUUUACUUUGGAUUUUUACACUCUUGUGUUAGGCAUUUUAUUGAAGAGUUAUUUUGAUUUGUAAGUGAGGAACUUGGGUGAGUGAAUGUAACAUUUGGGUACUUUGUUGGGGCUGCAAUUAUCCGUUGUGUAAGGGUACAUUGAACUUUAGCCAAUAGGAUUUUGAUCCAUUUUUGAAUAAAAUCAUUCACUGAGUGAGACUUUGUAGAGUACGAUUGGUG